This 350-nucleotide ribosomal RNA is filed under the name uncultured bacterium. RNAcentral's name for it is "bacterial SSU rRNA". It matches the Rfam family "Bacterial small subunit ribosomal RNA", at positions 30 to 381 of the family's 1533-position model. The record is from RNAcentral.
AUUGAACGCUGGCGGCAGGCCUAACACAUGCAAGUCGAGCGGUAGAGAGGUGCUUGCAUCUCUUGAGAGCGGCGGACGGGUGAGUAAUGCCUAGGAAUCUGCCUAGUGGUGGGGGAUAACGUUCGGAAACGGACGCUAAUACCGCAUACGUCCUACGGGAGAAAGCGGGGGGAUCUUCGGACCUCGCGCCAUUAGAUGAGCCUAGGUCGGAUUAGCUAGUUGGUGAGGUAAUGGCUCACCAAGGCGACGAUCCGUAACUGGUCUGAGAGGAUGAUCAGUCACACUGGAACUGAGACACGGUCCAGACUCCUACGGGAGGCAGCAGUGGGAAUAUGGACAAUGGGCGAAAG